GGGAGCAGGGGGGUGACACACACAGGCUGACAUCAGGGAACAAGCUUCCUGCGGACCCAGUCCCACAGCAUGGCAUCACUGAACAUCUGUGCAACUGCACACCUGUAAAGGUGUGCCGGCCACACCACAACUAUGGGGCACAUACCAGUUGAUGAAGUGACAGAUGCUCACCCUGGGGUUGAAAAGCCCCCAGCAGGAGGAUUAGCGGUCAGUACUCUCUGCACCCAGUUAUCUCAUCCUUUAAUGUAUCCAAGGUAGGAAGAUGGUAUGACCACCUCCCAGUCCUAGAGGGUAGUCCUAAGCACAGGCUGGAACAGCCUCAGACUGAACCCUCCCCACCCACGGGCUCCCAAAGUCCCCUCUUGCUUUUGCAGACUGUACCCCUUGCUGGGAGUCAGAUACCCAGAGUCCCAUUCAGGGCACAAGGACACAGCCCUUCCUAAGGAGCUCCUAAGGCCCAGCCUUCUGCCUCUCUCCUGCCUUCCCUUCAAAGCUGAGAUGAGGGACAACCCCAUCCUUAAGGCUCCAUGCAGCCAGCCUCCCCAGACUCUAGCCCUGAGGUCUGAGCCUAGCUGGGCACAGGCCCUGUGGCUGUGUGUUCCUGCAGGGUGUGUGUGUGGUGUGAGUGUGGUGGCGGCAGGCUGCUCUUCACGCAUGGUUGUCCCUAAAUUGUUCACUCUCUGGGUUCUUUCCACCUCACACCCACCCAGAGCCCAGGCCACCCCCACGUUCAGAUCAACAGAUGAAGCUGACUAGCCCGGGGUUGCUCAAGCAGUCCACAGCAGGAGCCCCAACACAGAUGACCUGCGUGCUAGGCCUGGGCCACCUAGAAGGGUCUGCGUGCCAUCCGAGGAGAACGGUCUGACCCUCAGCUCUACUCCAGGGCUGGCAGCCGCUGGACCCCGAUAGGAGGGGUGUGGGGGUGACUGGGACUCUGAGGGGAGCUGCCUGAGGGUGGAGGGGAGUCCCCAGGGUGAGAAACACCUGGCCCCAAAGGUCUGGCAGGGAUCAACAGCAAGAGGGAUCAGCAGCAUCUUCCUGGCUAGGGGCCAGCAGCUCCUGCCAGCCUGGGCACUCAAGGCCUUUGUCUGGCUGCCUUUUGACCUCUUUAUUUGUUAUCACACACACCCCCCGCUCCUUUGUCAGCUUCUGCACAGGCCAUUUCUUCUGUCCCACAUCAUCUGGCCUAGCCUUCAAGGCCUUCUCUGAGUCUAGGAAGCCUUUCCAAAUCCCACCCCAUCUCCAGGCAUCAAAUACUUGGUGGGCAGACAGCCCCAGAAGGGGGGAGGGGUGAGUCACCCCUGGAGCCUGUAAACCAAAGGUGAGGUUCCAGGCAAGGGAGCCAUUUCAGGACACACUGCUUCCUCCUCAACCAGGGCAGAGACCUAUGUGCUACUUGAGUGACGCGGAGGAAAAGGGAGAGGCUGGGAGACAGAAGAGUCAAGUGGAUUCUGUGAGGCAUCCCUUACCCGAGGACCCCCCACCCCCCCACCCAACACCCAGUAUUAUGCCCUGUCUUACCCAGGGCUAAAGUCCCAGGCCACACCCAGGCUUAGGUACAGCCCCGAAGGGGGAGGAAGAGGGAGUCAAGUUACAGGAGCUGCGAGACUCAGAGCUGGGCGCAGGGGCCAGGUUACCCUGGAAACCUGACCCUUGAACACUGAGGAGCCCACCCCCAAUCUCACCCUCCCAGCACUGGGCUAUACCAACAACAGCCAGGGCGGAGGGUUAGAGGUGCCCAGGCCUGCGCAGAGACAGCCAGGGUGGUGGUUCACAGUGGCCUAGACAGACAGGUGCCUCCCUCAGCCUGGAAGGGAAGCCCCUGCCUUCCCCUCAUAGUGGAGCUCAGGGGCAGCCUGUGCCACUGGCAGGUGUCCCAAGCAGCCCUGAGUGGGGCCGUGGAAGGGGACAGGGGAAGCAAUAGUGAUCUGUGACACUUGUGUGCGCUUCCUUCCACCAGACCUACUCUGCUCUGGAAGUAAGCCAAGCUCUCCUAUGUGACUCCCUCAGGUCCCCAGAGUGCCAGUCUCAGAGUGGUGACUCCCUCAGGAGGUGUCUUGACAUCAGAUGGGGACAUGUGACGGUUGUAGGAAGCACACAUUGCCUAACUGAGGAUGAGACACAAAGGCCCUACCCACAACGGGACAACCCGGUCCGAGUUCUUCAGACAUGGCUCCACUACAGUCUCCAUGGCCUUUCAUGGCCACUCUGCCAAGGGCUCAAAAUGUAUCCUCCUGAGUGACA
Peromyscus leucopus (white-footed mouse) is the source of this 2244-nucleotide long non-coding RNA. RefSeq lists it as uncharacterized. The record is from RefSeq and is a predicted model, not a curated record. NCBI's taxonomy places the organism in Eukaryota, Metazoa, Chordata, Mammalia, Rodentia, Cricetidae. The transcript is spliced from 2 exons.